This 149-nucleotide ribosomal RNA is filed under the name uncultured bacterium. RNAcentral's name for it is "partial 16S ribosomal RNA". It matches the Rfam family "Bacterial small subunit ribosomal RNA", at positions 380 to 521 of the family's 1533-position model. The record is from RNAcentral.
ANCCUGNNCCNGCCAUGCCGCGUGUGUGAAGAAGGUCUUCGGAUUGUAAAGCACUUUAAGUUGGGAGGAAGGGUUUCUGGCUAAUAUCCAGGAAUUUUGACGUUACCGACAGAAUAAGCACCGGCUAACUUCGUGCCAGCAGCCGCGGU